This is a long non-coding RNA of Magnolia sinica, 568 nucleotides long. RefSeq lists it as uncharacterized. The record is from RefSeq and is a predicted model, not a curated record. The transcript is spliced from 2 exons. NCBI's taxonomy places the organism in Eukaryota, Viridiplantae, Streptophyta, Magnoliopsida, Magnoliales, Magnoliaceae.
GUUUGAUCCUCGAGGUGGGAUCUUCUCACCUUAGCAAGACAACCAACCUCUGUGGGGCCACCACCAUGUUGUUUAUGUGACAUCUACUUCGUCCAUCAGAUGCGCCCCUUGAUGCUAGGUUCUGGGGUUGCAAAUGAGCCAGAUGGCCCAGAUCCACAACUUAGGUGGGCUACACCACUGGGAACAAUCGGGAUGGGACGCCGGCCACUGGUUUUUGUAUGGACCUGCUGUGAUAUAUAUCUUUCAGCAUGCCAGUUCAUCAAGCGUUACUUACUGGAAUGAAGGUAUGAUACAAAAAAAUUAGCCUUGUCCAAAUGUCAAGUGGGCAACACUGCAUCAACUUAGAGGUUUUAUGGACAAUUAGCAUUAUUCGGAUGGAUGUGGCCCAUCUCAGUUUUUAUUUAUUUAUUUAUUUAUUAUUAUUUAUUUAUCAGGUUCAUACUGUGGCCAUAAAGGUGCAUGCAUGAUGUAUGGAGUGGAUUCCACAUGUACACUGUAGUACAUAUGGUGGACCCCACAAAGCUGAGGUGUUUUAGGCAUUAAUAAAACAGGUGUUGUCCUUAUGACA